This 484-nucleotide ribosomal RNA is filed under the name uncultured bacterium. RNAcentral's name for it is "partial 16S ribosomal RNA". It matches the Rfam family "Bacterial small subunit ribosomal RNA", at positions 30 to 507 of the family's 1533-position model. The record is from RNAcentral.
AUUGAACGCUGGCGGCAGGCCUAACACAUGCAAGUCGAGCGGAUGAAGGGAGCUUGUUCCUGGCUUCAGCGGCGGACGGGUGAGUAAUGCCUAGGAAUCUGCCCGGUAGUGGGGGAUAACGUCCGGAAACGGGCGCUAAUACCGCAUACGUCCUGAGGGUGAAAGUGGGGGAUCUUCGGACCUCACGCUAUCAGAUGUGCCUCGGUCGGAUUAGCUAGUUGGUGGGGUAAAGGCCUACCAAGGCGACGAUCCGUAACUGGACUGAGAGGAUGAUCAGUCACACUGGAACUGAGACACGGUCCAGACUCCUACGGGAGGCAGCAGUGGGGAAUAUUGGACAAUGGGCGAAAGCCUGAUCCAGCCAUGCCGCGUGUGUGAAGAAGGUCUUCGGAUUGUAAAGCACUUUAAGUUGGGAAGAAGGGCAGUAAGUUAAUACCUUGCUGUUUUGACGGUACCAACAGAAUAAGCACCGGCUAACUUCGUG